GGGCCCGCACAAGCGGUGGAGCAUGUGGUUCAAUUCGAAGCAACGCGCAGAACCUUACCAGCCCUUGACAUGUCCCGUAUGGGUUUCAGAAAUGAGACCCUUCAGUUCGGCUGGCGGGAACACAGGUGCUGCAUGGCUGUCGUCAGCUCGUGUCGUGAGAUGUUGGGUUAAGUCCCGCAACGAGCGCAACCCUCGCCCUUAGUUGCCAUCAUUCAGUUGGGCACUCUAAGGGGACUGCCGGUGAUAAGCCGCGAGGAAGGUGGGGAUGACGUCAAGUCCUCAUGGCCCUUACGGGCUGGGCUACACACGUGCUACAAUGGCGGUGACAAUGGGAUGCAAUGGAGCAAUCCUGCGCAAAUCUCAAAAAGCCGUCUCAGUUCGGAUUGGGGUCUGCAACUCGACCCCAUGAAGUCGGAAUCGCUAGUAAUCGCAGAUCAGCACGCUGCGGUGAAUACGUUCCCGGGCCUU
RNAcentral lists this ribosomal RNA (468 nucleotides) under uncultured bacterium. RNAcentral describes it as "bacterial SSU rRNA". It matches the Rfam family "Bacterial small subunit ribosomal RNA", at positions 917 to 1382 of the family's 1533-position model. The record is from RNAcentral.